This is an RNA transcript of Brassica napus (rape), 951 nucleotides long. RefSeq lists it as uncharacterized. Lineage: Eukaryota; Viridiplantae; Streptophyta; Magnoliopsida; Brassicales; Brassicaceae. The transcript has 3 exons. The record is from RefSeq and is a predicted model, not a curated record.
AGAGACCACUUUACAUAUUCUCGGAUUGUUAAACUCAACGCCUAAAUUUGCUUCAUCUUCUUUUCAAUCUCAAAGCCUAAAACUAUCUUCUCCGUUCUCUUAAACAACAAUGUAGUCUCUGGAGUUUGGGCGACUCGAAUCGACGCGAAGAAUCUAGAAGUUGGUAUGCAAACCGUCCACCUCUUCCAUAAUUUCUCAUUCAUUGAAUCUAUUUUUCUUCAAGACGUACGGUGAAUCUGCUGUUAAAUAGAAUGGCUUACUUCUUUCUCCUCCUUGAUGACGUGAAAACCUGGCGAUGUAGCACCACCGAAGUUCAUCUGCUUAGAUUUUGGGAGGCAGAGCCGCUUAAGCAAGCACCAGCACCGGCUGAGGAAUGUAAAGAGAGGCGGCGAGCUGACAUGCUCCUCCUGGACGUAGAGCCACCAUCAAAGUCCACCGUUUGAAUACCUUCGAACAUUUUUUCAAGGCCUGUUCGAUUUACGCCGAAAGCGGGGUGAGCGGGUUUGACGUGACACCAAUCAACCCCAACUACAAACUGUCCAACUCUCCUCCAUCAAUACGUUUCAGUGACUUGACCGACUUUGACGAAAUAACAGAGCCGGUGAGCUCGAUUCCUCAAGAGCUGUUCCAGUUCUCCGAUUACGAACAGCUCCAACACAUCUUCCUGGUCACUCUCUCAAACUCUGCUACUCCCACUUUACAAUCUAAUUCUGUUUUAUAUUUUAAAUGCUCAUUUCUUUCACCAAAUAUUAUUUCUGAAUUAACCGCCAUUAGGAGUACUGUGAAUGACUCCUCAUAAGGCAAAUAAUGUGUAAUGUCUGCCAUCCGAAUCAGCAGUUUUGUCUUAACUUUGCUUAUAAAGAUCUCUACGAUAUCAUAAAUCAAGUAGAACUACUAAGACAUGUUACCAUUAUGUACUUGGUCUGAAAUUUGCAGUGAUUCCUUGAGCCU